GAUGAACGCUGGCGGCGUGCCUAAUACAUGCAAGUCGAGCGAACAGACGAGGAGCUUGCUCCUCUGACGUUAGCGGCGGACGGGUGAGUAACACGUGGAUAACCUACCUAUAAGACUGGGAUAACUUCGGGAAACCGGAGCUAAUACCGGAUAAUAUAUUGAACCGCAUGGUUCAAUAGUGAAAGACGGUUUUGCUGUCACUUAUAGAUGGAUCCGCGCCGCAUUAGCUAGUUGGUAAGGUAACGGCUCACCAAGGCAACGAUGCGUAGCCGACCUGAGAGGGUGAUCGGCCACACUGGAACUGAGACACGGUCCAGACUCCUACGGGAGGCAGCAGUAGGGAAUCUUCCGCAAUGGGCGAAAGCCUGACGGAGCAACGCCGCGUGAGUGAUGAAGGUCCUCGGAUCGUAAAACUCUGUUAUUAGGGAAGAACAAAUGUGUAAGUAACUAUGCACGUCUUGACGGUACCUAAUCAGAAAGCCACGGCUAACUACGUG
RNAcentral lists this ribosomal RNA (497 nucleotides) under uncultured bacterium. RNAcentral's name for it is "partial 16S ribosomal RNA". It matches the Rfam family "Bacterial small subunit ribosomal RNA", at positions 28 to 507 of the family's 1533-position model. The record is from RNAcentral.